UUGACCUUUCCUUGGAAGCCAUAGCUGUCGAUUUGACGAAACCGGCACUGAAAUAACUUCUAUAAUGUCGGCUGCGUGGAGAGCGGCUGGGUUAAGCUACAUCCAGUAUUCUGGAAUAUGUGCCAAGGCUGUAAGGAGUGCUCUGAAGCCAGAGGUUCAGCAGCAAAUGGCAAAGAGAGGAGAAUCAAUCCUGAAAGUGACAAAAUGGGAAGGAGGAAAGCCUAUCAAUGGCAAUGGCAAUAGUUUUUAUAACUCUUGAUGUCGCCAGCCACAGAACAUGAGGUUGCUGACAAAGUGAGCUAACAUUGACUGAUGGAUUACGUUACUUAGUGUGUGUAUUUGCUGGUGUUAGGUGCGUGAUGAUCCGAAGAAGAUUUUUGACUUUACCAGGACCACUAAACAUUUCACCAUUGAGAAGACAUAAAAAUAAACCAGUUAAUACAGAAUUUGGAUGUUAAAUUAGAUUUCAAAUUUACAGUAGUCAGCUAUUUGUAAAUAAAUGGUGGAAAAGAU
This is a long non-coding RNA of Pecten maximus, 513 nucleotides long. RefSeq lists it as uncharacterized. NCBI's taxonomy places the organism in Eukaryota, Metazoa, Mollusca, Bivalvia, Pectinida, Pectinidae. The record is from RefSeq and is a predicted model, not a curated record. The transcript has 4 exons.